This 233-nucleotide ribosomal RNA is filed under the name uncultured bacterium. RNAcentral describes it as "partial 16S ribosomal RNA". It matches the Rfam family "Bacterial small subunit ribosomal RNA", at positions 333 to 558 of the family's 1533-position model. The record is from RNAcentral.
UUGUUCCUACGGGGCGCAGCAGUAGGGAAUCUUCCACAAUGGACGAAAGUCUGAUGGAGCAACGCCGCGUGAGUGAAGAAGGGUUUCGGCUCGUAAAGCUCUGUUGGUAGUGAAGAAAGAUAGAGGUAGUAACUGGCCUUUAUUUGACGGUAAUUACUUAGAAAGUCGCGGCUAACUACGUGCCAGCAGCCGCGGUAAUACAUAGGUGGCAAGCGUUGUCCGGAUUUAUUGGG